UCCAAGCUUUCACAGUGUCUCAGUCAGU
RNAcentral lists this non-coding RNA (28 nucleotides) under Rattus norvegicus (Norway rat). The record is from RNAcentral. Lineage: Eukaryota; Metazoa; Chordata; Mammalia; Rodentia; Muridae.